ACAACCAGGAGGUUGGCUUAGAAGCAGCCAUCCUUUAAAGAAAGCGUAACAGCUCACUGGUCUAGUGAUUCUGCGCGGAAAAUAUAACGGGGCUAAGAUGUGCACCGAAGCUUUAGAUUCGAAUUUAUUCGAGUGGUAGGAGAGCGUUCUAUUCAGCGUUGAAGAUGUACCGGUAAGGAGCGUUGGAGCGGAUAGAAGUGAGCAUGCAGGCAUGAGUAGCGAUAAUUGAGGUGAGAAUCCUCAACGCCGAAAACCCAAGGUUUCCUACGCGAUGCUCGUCAUCGUAGGGUUAGUCGGGUCCUAAGUCGAGUCCGAAAGGGGUAGACGAUGGCAAAUUGAUUAAUAUUUCAAUACCAACAUACAAGCGCGAUGUGGGGACGCAUAGAGUUAAUCGAGCUCACUGAUGGAAUAGUGGGUCGAAGGACGUAGGCUGUAACUUAGGCAAAUCCGGGUUGCAAUAGGCCGAGAUCUUACAGGCUCUUGACACUCUUCGGAGGAGAUGGAGAAUCGAUGAUACUGUCGUGCCAAGAAAAGCCACUAAGUAUAUUGUAUGUUGCCCGUACCGUAAACCGACACAGGUGGGUGGGAUGAGUAUUCUAAGGCGCGUGGAAGAACCCUGGUUAAGGAACUCUGCAAACUAGCACCGUAUCUUCGGUAUAAGGUGUGCCUACUUUGGUAUAUGGACUUGCUCCAAAAAGCUAGAGAGGUUGCAACAAAGAGUCCCUCCCGACUGUUUACCAAAAACACAGCACUUUGCUAACACGUAAGUGGAUGUAUAAGGUGUGACGCCUGCCCGGUGCUCGAAGGUUAACUGAUGAUGUCAGCGCAAGCGAAGCAUUUGAUUGAAGCCCGAGUAAACGGCGGCCGUAACUAUAACGGUCCUAAGGUAGCGAAAUUCCUUGUCGGUUAAAUACCGACCUGCAUGAAUGGCGUAACGAGAUGGGAGCUGUCUCAACCAGGGAUCCAGUGAAAUUGUAGUGGAGGUGAAAAUUCCUCCUACCCGCGGAAAGACGGAAAGACCCCGUGCACCUUUACUACAGCUUGACACUGUAGCUUGGAUAUUCAUGUGCAGGAUAGGUGGGAGGCUAUGAUGACUAGACGCAAGUAGAGUCGGAGCCAUCCUUGAGAUACCACCCUUGAAUAUUUGAGUUACUAACUGCGUACAAUUAUCUUGUAUCAGGACAAUGUCUGGUGGGUAGUUUGACUGGGGCGGUCGCCUCCUAAAAAGUAACGGAGGCUUACAAAGGUUAGUUCAUGGCGGAUGGAAAUCGCCAGUUGAGUAUAAUGGCAUAAACUAGCUUGACUGUGAGACAUACAAGUCGAACAGAGACGAAAGUCGGUCAUAGUGAUCCGGUGGUUCUGUGUGGAAGGGCCAUCGCUCAAAGGAUAAAAGGUACGCCGGGGAUAACAGGCUGAUCUCCCCCAAGAGCUCACAUCGACGGGGAGGUUUGGCACCUCGAUGUCGGCUCAUCGCAUCCUGGGGCUGAAGUAGGUCCCAAGGGUAUGGCUGUUCGCCAUUUAAAGCGGUACGCGAGCUGGGUUCAGAACGUCGUGAGACAGUUCGGUCCCUAUCUUCCGUGGGCGUAGGAAAGUUGAAGAGAUUUGUCCCUAGUACGAGAGGACCGGGAUGAACGUACCACUGGUGUACCAAUUGUUCUGCCAAGAGCAUCGUUGGGUAGCUACGUACGGAUGUGAUAAGAGCUGAAAGCAUCUAAGCUCGAAGCCAACUCUAAGAUUAACUUUCCCUGAAGUUCCCAG
This 1758-nucleotide ribosomal RNA is filed under the name wastewater metagenome. Its description in RNAcentral is "bacterial LSU rRNA". It matches the Rfam family "Bacterial large subunit ribosomal RNA", at positions 1089 to 2832 of the family's 2925-position model. The record is from RNAcentral.